This 2061-nucleotide long non-coding RNA is filed under the name Homo sapiens (human). RNAcentral describes it as "non-protein coding LINC002481:8". The record is from RNAcentral. Lineage: Eukaryota; Metazoa; Chordata; Mammalia; Primates; Hominidae.
AGUCAACCCCCGGGAAGGCCAGGAUGUGGCCUUGUUUCGGCAAGGCCGCCCUAUCACCACGGAGAUGGGCAGGCAGGAGACAUCCCCAGUCAGUCGGGCCCAGGUGGGGAUCAGGAGGUUUCAGGAAAACACAAGCUAUGCAGUGGGGCAGGUGAGGCUUGGCCUGCCCAGCCUGUCCUGAGUGUCAUGGGAACAGCUCUGGAAGUGACUCCUCUGUCCUCUGGAAUCUGGAUCAGAUGGGGCCUUCUCCAGACAUCUGUGCUCAGCAGAUGCGACAGACGGCCCCUCGAGUGUAGCCCAGGAUCCAGCACCGGCCCAAGCAGGUGGGAGCUGUAAGUUGAUCCAAGCUCUCCAGUCCCUGUGCUGGGCUGGGGGAUGCACGAUGAACGAGGCUGGGAUCCUGGUGUCAGGGAGUACCAGCCACAGAGGGCGCCAUGUGCAUGGAGGAGGUGGCAAGGAAGAGAAGGGGAAACCGAGGCUCACAGCGAGGAACUUGGUCAACAAGCCCAGGCCCCUCCACCCUGCCCGCGUUUCCUGCACUGCACUGGAUCAAACCGGUUUGAUCCUUGAUAAUGCCUCCGACAAAUAUUUGAUGAGGGAGGAGGCUGAGAGAGGGGCUGUGGAACAAAUCACCACAAACUGGAGGGCCGAAAACACCAGCAAUGGGCUCCCUCUUGGUUCUGGAGCCGAGAAGGCAGAAAUGAAGGCGUCAUCAGGGUUGCUCCUUCUGGGGCCUCAGAGCAGGACUCUGUUCCCUGCCCGUCCCCAGCUCCGGUGGUUGGCGGCCUUCCUCCGCCUGUGGCCCUGCACUCCAAUCGCUGCCUCUGUUGUCACUUGGCCCCCCAUGUGCCUCUGUGUCUCAGAAGGACACAAGUCAUAUUGAAUUAAGGACCCUCCCUACCCCAGCAUGACCCCGUUUUAACUUAGAACUUUCACAAUGAUCUGAUUUGCAAAGAAGGCUGGAUUCUGAGGUCCUGGGAAGGACAUGAAUUUUGGGGGAUGCUGUUCACCUCAGUACACCGGUGCAGAGUUCGGUGACACCGCCAAGUUGCUUGACGGUGAGCAGCCUGGCAUUGUAGAAAGGCAGAGGUUGACUUUAGUUUGGUCCCUGGCUUUGUCCUUUAUUUGUUCUGUGACACCUUGGACAAGUUUUGUGACCCGAGUGUCAGUUUCCUAGGAACCAGUGACAAUGAUCAGAGAUAGGGGGACUCAAGGGUAAGUAAAGUGCAGGAUGAACUGCAGCGGAGCGUGUGAGGUGCCUGGCAGGUGUCGGCCACCCAGUGGCGCUCGAAGCACCUGCUGCUCCCUCCUUCCUCGCUCCCAGCUGCCUUCUCUGCUGGGAGCUCUUUGGAGAGGAGCUGUGUGACUGGUUCAUCCUGUCCCUCGAGGAGCUACCAGUUCAGUCAAGGACAUUGAGAAGCAGCGGAUGGUGACAGUGCAGUGUGACAGUGGUGUGCUGUGGGAGCCCCAUGGAGCGGCUACCCAGGCAGGAACGUCAGGGAGGCUUCCUGGAGGAGGUGGUGCUUCAGAUGAGACUUGAAGGAGCAGAAGGUGUUUGCUAGACAAAGGGGCUUGCUUGGAUGAAUGGUCUUCAGAGCGUGGUCCCAGUAAGGAAGGAGACCACUACUACUCUUGCUGCCCUCCUCCCCCGACCUUGCCUAGUUUACAAGACAGGAGGAAAGAGAGAAAGCAAAAAGUUAGAAAAAAAAAAAAAAAAAACAGAAGUAAGAUAAAUAGCCAGAAGACCUUGGCACCACCACCUGGCCCUGGUAGUUAAAAAAAGUAAUAAUAAUAAUAUCGACCCCUGACUUAAACUACUUGUAUUAUCUGUAAAUUCCAGACAUUGUAGGAAAAAGCAUUGCAAAAUUUUCUGUUCUGUUAGCUGAUUCAUGUAGCCCCCAGUCACGUUCCCCAUGCUUGUUCGAUUUAUCAUGACCCUUUCACGUGGGCCCCUUAGAGGUGUAAGCCCUUAAAAGGGCCAAGAAUUUCUUUUUCCGGGAGCUCGGCUCUUAAGACGCAAGUCUGCUGAUGCUCCCGGCUGAAUAAACCUCUUCCUUCUUU